CCUACGGGCGGCUGCAGUGGGGAAUUUUGGACAAUGGGCGCAAGCCUGAUCCAGCAAUGCCGCGUGAGUGAAGAAGGCCUUCGGGUUGUAAAGCUCUUUUGUGGAACGUACGGUACCUGAAGAAUAAGCACCGGCUAACUACGUGCCAGCAGCCGCGGUAAUACGUAGGGUGCACGCGUUAAUGGGAAUUACUGGGCGUAAAGCGUGCGCAGGCGGUUUUGUAAGUGUGUCGUGAAAUCCCCGGGCUCAACCUGGGAAUGGCGAUGAAGACUGCAAGGCUAGAGUUUGGCAGAGGGGGGUAGAAUUCCACGUGUAGCAGUGAAAUGCGUAGAUAUGUGGAGGAACACCGAUGGCGAAGGCAGCCCCCUGGGUCAACUGACGCUCAUGCACGAAAGCGUGGGGAGCAAACAGGAUUAGAUACCCUAGUAGUC
Molecule: ribosomal RNA, 431 nt
Filed under: uncultured bacterium
Lineage: Bacteria
Description: partial 16S ribosomal RNA
Rfam family: Bacterial small subunit ribosomal RNA
Source: RNAcentral